Molecule: ribosomal RNA, 496 nt
Filed under: uncultured bacterium
Lineage: Bacteria
Description: partial 16S ribosomal RNA
Rfam family: Bacterial small subunit ribosomal RNA
Source: RNAcentral
GAUGAACGCUGGCGGCGUGCCUAAUACAUGCAAGUCGAGCGAACGGACGAGAAGCUUGCUUUUCUGAUGUUAGCGGCGGACGGGUGAGUAACACGUGAUAACCUACCUAUAAGAACUGGAUAGCCUUGGGAAACCGGAGCCAAUUCCGGAUAAUAUUUUUAACCGCAUUGUUCAAAAGUGAAAGACGGUUUUGCCGUUACUUAUUGAUGGAUCCGCGCUGCAUUAGCUAGUUGGUAAGGUAACGGCUUACCAAGGCAACGAUGCAUAGCCGACCUGAGAGGGUGAUCGGCCACACUGGAACUGAGACACGGUCCAGACUCCUACGGGAGGCAGCAGUAGGGAAUCUUCCGCAAUGGGCGAAAGCCUGACGGAGCAACGCCGCGUGAGUGAUGAAGGUCUUCGGAUCGUAAAACUCUGUUAUUAGGGAAGAACAUAUGUGUAAGUAACUGUGCACAUCUUGACGGUACCUAAUCAGAAAGCCACGGCUAACUACGUG